Molecule: long non-coding RNA, 208 nt
Organism: Telopea speciosissima
Lineage: Eukaryota; Viridiplantae; Streptophyta; Magnoliopsida; Proteales; Proteaceae
Exons: 3
Source: RefSeq, a predicted model, not a curated record
UCCACUCCACCGGAUGAACUUCAAACACGAUAUGGGUCGACACUAUUAGUACUACUAGUAUUAUUAGUAUUCUCAGACACACGAAGACGUUCAAACUCGUAAGUCACAGAACGGUUAUUAUCACCACCAUUAUUCUCAGAAAUUUUAAGUCGUUCAGACUCAUAACUCACCGAACGGCUGUACUUUCCGGUAACAUUGUUGUCCUUAG